Molecule: ribosomal RNA, 120 nt
Organism: Sporothrix schenckii ATCC 58251
Lineage: Eukaryota; Fungi; Ascomycota; Sordariomycetes; Ophiostomatales; Ophiostomataceae
Source: Rfam
ACGUACGGCCACAGAUAUUGGAGAAUACGGGAUCCCGUCCGCUCUCCCCUAGUCAAACCAAUAAUCGGCGGAUUAGUAGUUGGGUCGGUGACGACCAGCGAAUACCCGCUGCUGUACGUU